RNAcentral lists this ribosomal RNA (761 nucleotides) under uncultured actinomycete. RNAcentral's name for it is "bacterial SSU rRNA". It matches the Rfam family "Bacterial small subunit ribosomal RNA", at positions 641 to 1392 of the family's 1533-position model. The record is from RNAcentral. Lineage: Bacteria; Bacillati; Actinomycetota; Actinomycetes; Actinomycetales.
CUUGAGGCUGGUAGGGGCAAGCGGAAUUCCUGGUGUAGCGGUGAAAUGCGCAGAUAUCAGGAGGAACACCGGUGGCGAAGGCGGCUUGCUGGGCCAGUCCUGACGCUGAGGAGCGAAAGCGUGGGGAGCGAACAGGAUUAGAUACCCUGGUAGUCCACGCCGUAAACGUUGGGCGCUGGGUGUGGGGGCUUUCCACGGUUCCCGUGCCGUAGCUAACGCGUUAAGCGCCCCGCCUGGGGAGUACGGCCGCAAGGCUAAAACUCAAAGGAAUUGACGGGGGCCCGCACAAGCGGCGGAGCAUGUUGCUUAAUUCAAUGCAACGCGAAGAACCUUACCAAGGUUUGACAUGCCGGGAAAUCCCGCAGAGACGCGGGGUGCCUUCGGGCGCCUGGCACAGGUGGUGCAUGGCUGUCGUCAGCUCGUGUCGCGAGAUGUUGGGUUAAGUCCCGCAACGAGCGUAACCCCCAUCCUGUGUUGCCAGCACGCCCCUUGUGGGUGGUGGGGACUCAUGGGAGACUGCCGGGGUCAACCCGGAGGAAGGCGGGGAUGACGUCAAGUCAUCAUGCCCCUUAUGCCUUGGGCUGCAAACAUGCUACAAUGGCCGGUACAGAGGGCUGCGAAGUCGUGAGGCGGAGCGAAUCCCUAAAAGCCGGUCUCAGUUCGGAUUGGGGUCUGCAACUCGACCCCAUGAAGUCGGAGUCGCUAGUAAUCGCAGAUCAGCAACGCUGCGGUGAAUACGUUCCCGGGCCUUGUACACACCG